UACGGAGGGGGCAAGCGUUGUUCGGAUUCAUUGGGCGUAAAGGGUGCGUAGGCGGCGCGGUAAGUCGGGUGUGAAAUCUCGGGGCUUAACUCCGAAACUGCAUUCGAUACUGCCGUGCUUGAGGACUGGAGAGGAGACUGGAAUUUACGGUGUAGCGGUGAAAUGCGUAGAUAUCGUAAGGAAGACCAGUGGCGAAGGCGGGUCUCUGGACAGUUCCUGACGCUGAGGCACGAAGGCCAGGGGAGCAAACGGG
Molecule: ribosomal RNA, 253 nt
Filed under: uncultured bacterium
Lineage: Bacteria
Description: partial 16S ribosomal RNA
Rfam family: Bacterial small subunit ribosomal RNA
Source: RNAcentral